GAUGAACGCUGGCGGCGUGCCUAACACAUGCAAGUCGAACGGAGUCGUUUUGGAAAUCUCUUCGGAGAUGGAAUUCUCGACUUAGUGGCGGACGGGUGAGUAACGCGUGAGCAAUCUGCCUUUAAGAGGGGGAUAACAGUCGGAAACGGCUGCUAAUACCGCAUAAAGCAUUAAAUUCGCAUGUUUUUGAUGCCAAAGGAGCAAUCCGCUUUUAGAUGAGCUCGCGUCUGAUUAGCUAGUUGGCGGGGUAACGGCCCACCAAGGCGACGAUCAGUAGCCGGACUGAGAGGUGGAACGGCCACAUUGGGACUGAGACACGGCCCAGACUCCUACGGGAGGCAGCAGUGGGGAAUAUUGCGCAAUGGGGGAAGCCCUGACGCAGCAACGCCGCGUGAUUGAAGAAGGCCUUCGGGUUGUAAAGAUCUUUAAUCAGGGACGAAACAAAUGACGGUACCUGAAGAAUAAGCUCCGGCUAACUACGUG
This 483-nucleotide ribosomal RNA is filed under the name uncultured bacterium. RNAcentral describes it as "partial 16S ribosomal RNA". It matches the Rfam family "Bacterial small subunit ribosomal RNA", at positions 28 to 507 of the family's 1533-position model. The record is from RNAcentral.